GACGAACGUUGGCGGCGUGCUUAACACAUGCAAGUCGAACGGGCCCGCCCCUGUUUUUGGGGGUGGGUUGAGUGGCGAACGGGUGAGUAUCACGUGAGUAACCUGCCCCCUGCUCCUGGAUAACUGCUUGAAAGGGCGGCUAAUACGGGGUGUGCCGGCUGGUCCGCAUGGGCCUGGUCGGGAUAGUUUCAUCUUCGGGUGUUUCGGUGGGGGAUGGGCUCGCGGCCUAUCAGCUUGUUGGUGGGGUGAUGGCCCACCAAGGCGGUGACGGGUAGCCGGCCUGAGAGGGUGGGCGGCCACACUGGGACUGAGACACGGCCCAGACUCCUGCGGGAGGCAGCAGUGGGGGGUAUUGCACAAUGGGCGGAAGCCUGAUGCAGCGACGUCGCGUGAGGGAUGGAGGCCUUCGGGUGGUGAACCUCUUUCUCCGGUGGUGGAGGCCCUGUCCGUUGCGGCGGGGUUGACGGUAGCCGGGUAUGAAGCGCCGGCUAACUACGUG
This 499-nucleotide ribosomal RNA is filed under the name uncultured bacterium. RNAcentral describes it as "partial 16S ribosomal RNA". It matches the Rfam family "Bacterial small subunit ribosomal RNA", at positions 28 to 507 of the family's 1533-position model. The record is from RNAcentral.